Molecule: transfer RNA, 95 nt
Filed under: Endomicrobium sp.
Lineage: Bacteria; Pseudomonadati; Elusimicrobiota; Endomicrobiia; Endomicrobiales; Endomicrobiaceae
Description: tRNA-Ser
Rfam family: tRNA
About the family: Transfer RNA (tRNA) molecules are approximately 80 nucleotides in length. Their secondary structure includes four short double-helical elements and three loops (D, anti-codon, and T loops).
Source: RNAcentral
GGAGGGGUCGCAUAGUUUGGUUUAGUGCGCCGGUUUGCUAAACUGGUGUAUAGAUUAUAAAGUCUGUACCGAGAGUUCAAAUCUCUCCCCCUCCG